UUUGCCUACGGGGCGCAGCAGUGAGGAAUAUUGGUCAAUGGGCGAGAGCCUGAACCAGCCAAGUCGCGUGAGGGAAGACGGUCCUAUGGAUUGUAAACCUCUUUUGCCGGGGAGCAAAAAGCGGUACGUGUACCGCAUCGAGAGUACCCGGAGAAAAAGCAUCGGCUAACUACGUGCCAGCAGCCGCGGUAAUACGUAGGUGGCAAGCGUUAUCCGGAUUUAUUGGGCGUAAAGGGAACGCAGGCGGUCUUUUAAGUCUGAUGUGAAAGCCUUCGGCUUAACCGGAGUAGUGCAU
This 295-nucleotide ribosomal RNA is filed under the name uncultured bacterium. RNAcentral's name for it is "partial 16S ribosomal RNA". It matches the Rfam family "Bacterial small subunit ribosomal RNA", at positions 334 to 626 of the family's 1533-position model. The record is from RNAcentral.